UACGAAGGGGGCUAGCGUUGCUCGGAAUCACUGGGCGUAAAGGGCUCGUAGGCGGCCAACUAAGUCGGACGUGAAAUCCCUCGGCUUAACCGGGGAACUGCGUCUGAUACUGGAUGGCUUGAAUCCGGGAGAGGGAUGCGGAAUUCCAGGUGUAGCGGUGAAAUGCGUAGAUAUCUGGAGGAACACCGGUGGCGAAGGCGGCAUCCUGGACCGGCAUUGACGCUGAGGAGCGAAAGCCAGGGGAGCAAACGGG
RNAcentral lists this ribosomal RNA (253 nucleotides) under uncultured bacterium. RNAcentral's name for it is "partial 16S ribosomal RNA". It matches the Rfam family "Bacterial small subunit ribosomal RNA", at positions 524 to 776 of the family's 1533-position model. The record is from RNAcentral.